AGAGCGAACGCUGGCGGCAGGCCUAACACAUGCAAGUCGAGCGCCCCGCAAGGGGAGCGGCAGACGGGAGAGUAACACGUGGGAACGUACCCUUCAGUUCGGAACAACCCAGGGAAACUUGGGCUAAUACCGAAUACGUCCGUAAGGAGAAAGAUUUAUCGCUGAAGGAUCGGCCCGCGUCUGAUUAGCUUGUUGGUGAGGUAACAGCUCACCAAGGCGACGAUCAGUAGCUGGUCUGAGAGGAUGAUCAGCCUCACUGGGACUGAGACACGGCCCAGACUCCUACGGGAGGCAGCAGUGGGAAUAUUGGACAAUGGGCGCAAGCCUGAUCCAGCCAUGCCGCGUGGGUGAUGAAGGCCCUAGGGUUGUAAAGCCCUUUCGGCGGGGAAGAUAAUGACGGUACCGCAGAAGAAGCCCCGGCUAACUUCGUGCCAGCAGCCGC
RNAcentral lists this ribosomal RNA (442 nucleotides) under uncultured bacterium. RNAcentral describes it as "SSU rRNA". It matches the Rfam family "Bacterial small subunit ribosomal RNA", at positions 26 to 518 of the family's 1533-position model. The record is from RNAcentral.